AUGCCUCGCUUCGGCAGCACAUAUACUAAAACUGGAACAAUACAGAGAAGAUUAGCAUGGCCCCUGCGCAAGGAUGAUACGCAAAUUUGGUGAAGCGUUCCAUAUUUUU
Molecule: small nuclear RNA, 109 nt
Filed under: Balaenoptera musculus (blue whale)
Lineage: Eukaryota; Metazoa; Chordata; Mammalia; Artiodactyla; Balaenopteridae
Source: RNAcentral